AAAGAAUACAGGUUUAUACUGUUUAUGUUCAACGUUUGAUUGUUCGUCUUAUUUGAAAUUUUUUUAUAAUUAGUAUUUUUAUUGUUACUAGAUGAUAAAACAUGAAUAUAAUUUAUGCGUAACUAAUUUUUUUUAUAAAUUUUUUAAGAUGGAUUGUCAAAUAUUGAAUGCAUAUAUUUAGGGUUGCAUUUAAA
Molecule: microRNA precursor, 194 nt
Filed under: Oryza punctata
Lineage: Eukaryota; Viridiplantae; Streptophyta; Magnoliopsida; Poales; Poaceae
Description: MIR812 microRNA precursor family
Rfam family: MIR812 microRNA precursor family
Source: Rfam by way of RNAcentral